GGUCCCGUCUAUGGUGUAGACAUAGCAUUCACCAGAGGACAAAGCUGAAACACCCUUGGGAGUUGCCCAGCCUUCAGAACUUCAGGAAACACAGUUAUGUUGUUUAAGAAGCACCUAAUCUAGAAUAUUUUGUUAUAGCACCCCAGUGGAUUAAGAUAGACCUGAACUCCCCUACUCUGAAGGAGACAUUAGCGACUGCAGUAUUCAGAGGAGGGUAACCAGGAUGGGAUUGAACCCAUGAGGGGUUCACAAAGAAAUGGAAGAAGAGGCAGCUGUGUCAUGGUGUGUAUUCUCAGGCAUGCAUCUGGCUAUUAAGUAGGCCUUUGAAUUCUUUCCUUCAUGUUAGAAGGGAGAUGGAUGUAGAUUGUCAAAUAAUGAAGGGAUUUAACUUAACUUCAUUCCUUUUUUGGUUCUGGGGAUGGAACCCAGGAUUUUGCUCACAGUGGUAGUUCAGUCUACCAUCUCCUCCCCCAUGACAGAAUCCUAUGCACCCAGAACUGGCUUCCUUUAAGACUGAGCAUGUCCCUUCCCACUUCUUGUUUAGGGAAGGCAAGUUCUGAGGGUCAUUCAGUUAGUUGAUAUGGAAAAUGCAAGGGGACAUCUUUGCUGGUCCACUCCCUUGCUCUCGUUUAUGAAAUUUGAGCCGAUAUUGUUUGGAGAUUUUAUAUGAAUUAAGGUUCUUGACCUUGCUUGAACAACCAAAGCAUCUGUUAAUAUUUGAUAUUUUCUCUGUCGUCUCGCUCCCUCUUUCAUUAUUUCUUAUGAGGUUGCUGAUUGGAGCCAUGUUAGUCUAUUUCAGAUUUAGCAGUUUGGAUUGACCUCUGAUCCCAGGGCUGUCAACUCAUUGACCGGCAGUGACUUGUAGUAAGUGUCAGUGACGUGUACUAAGGCCUGCUGGCAUGGAAAAAAUGAACUCAACCAAUUACAUUUUCUUUGAACUAAGAACUUCAGGGAGAAGCAAUGCAUUUCCAAGGGUUUUGAUGAUCAAGGAACUGUGGAGGAAUCUUGACAGGCCAAGGGCAAGCUGAACUGCUAAAGCUUCUGAAAGAGUUUCUCAUUGAAAUCUGGAGCUCUCCCGUUCCACUAGGCCUGAUGAGCGCCCAGGAUCCUGUGAGCCCCAGGAGACUCCUAUGUGUCCAUCCUCCAGUGAUGGAGUUACUUACACAGAAGUGUUGCUAUGCCCAGCUUCUUACACAAAUCCUGAACCUGACUCCUUGUGCUUGGCAAGCACCUUGCUGAUUGAGCUGUCUCCCCAGAUCCUCAAAAUGAGUUUAUUCUUGGGAGAGCUUAGAAGGAACGGGCAACAGCUGUUGACGUGAGAAGACAAAAAACUUCAGGCCCUGUUCCCCAAUGAAGGCGGCUAGGGAGCCACUCUGAAAAUGUAUUAUUGUGGAGAGCUGCCAACGUUGAUGGUGACUCCUAGCACCAGCUGCACAACCUGAAACAUGUCUCCGCUCAGUCACACAGACUGGAGGGGCACAGAGAGACACAACAUCUGGAAGCACACCUGUGUCCCAGAUCCCCUUCUGCUUCCUUGUCCUUGAGUACAUGGCAGAUCUUACAGAUCUAUGGCUGUUGGAGAGACCACACAUCUAUGUGAGCCAUGUGGGACAAGUGGACCGUGCCACCAGACAGAAGAACUGGUAAGGUUGAAGUAGGUUCAAGACCCCAGGGAAUCUCAGAAUUGAGAAUAGUAGGCAUGGAAACAGCUCCCUGUCAAGCUCCACCUGUCCUGGAACAUGUAACCAUAACAAACCACCGAGAAGACCAUUACAAUUGGUUAGGUUGCAUAAAAACCUAGAGUCCUCCAUGAUAAUGAGGUAUUUAGAUAGGCCCCAAGUGUUUAUCCAAUGGGCUUCCCUACCUGGGCAUUCCUUCCCGCACAGGGAGUUUAAACCUUGGUUCUCCUGAAGUGAGAUGUAUGCAUUCACAGCCUCCACUAAAUACAGCAGUUUGGACAAGCAA
Mus musculus (house mouse) is the source of this 1965-nucleotide long non-coding RNA. RefSeq annotates it as predicted gene, 34740. The transcript is spliced from 4 exons. NCBI's taxonomy places the organism in Eukaryota, Metazoa, Chordata, Mammalia, Rodentia, Muridae. The record is from RefSeq and is a predicted model, not a curated record.